GGGGAUUUAGCUCAGCAGGCAUAAGCGCCUGCCUUGCAAGCAGGGGGUCGUGAGAUCGUGAGUUCGAUCCCCA
Molecule: transfer RNA, 73 nt
Filed under: Cavia porcellus (domestic guinea pig)
Lineage: Eukaryota; Metazoa; Chordata; Mammalia; Rodentia; Caviidae
Rfam family: tRNA
About the family: Transfer RNA (tRNA) molecules are approximately 80 nucleotides in length.
Source: Rfam by way of RNAcentral